AUGACACUCGUUGUAUUAUAGCCAACAAUGAUAUGUGGAAAUCAGAAAUAUAACUAAUGUGUGACAAAAUGGUUAUCUAAAGUUAGAUCAGGCAAUAUUGGAUAAUAGGCUAUACAGAGCUGACUGAUGUGAUGAGUAAAAUCGAUUAUUUCAAAUUACUGUAAAGGCUGCGUCGACCUUUAUAGUGUUUGAAAUAAUCCACCCUGUCUACGACUAAAACUUUUUACACGUUUUAAUCGUAGACAGGGUGGAUUUGGGUGUGCUAGCUUUUUGAAAAUGGACUGGAUCAAAAUGAACUACUCAAGGUUUCUAAAUGUGACUAGUCUGGGUAGGAAACCAUCACCAAUCAGAGUACUGACUGAAAUAGUGCUGAACUCACCAAAAACAUUGAUUUCCAUGGCUGGAGGGAUGCCAAAUCCUGAUUUCUUCCCGAUACAAGAUAUUUCACUAACUCUCAAAGAUGGAUCUAAGCUGAACAUAGACACUUCCUUGGUAACCAGAGCAAUGCAGUAUUCCUCCUCAUCGGGAUUUCCUGAACUUAUCAACUGGGUAAAGGAUCUCCAGGAAAGAGUUCACAAACCACCAACUCUGGGAAUCACAGACGAGAACAAAAAGCUGGACAUCAUCAUUACAAACGGAAGUCAAGAUGGAAUCUGUAAAACACUGGAAGCCUGCGUGUCAGCUGGUGACAAUGUUCUGAUCGAGGUUCCUACAUACGCAGGCACCCUCGCCAUCCUGAAUCCCCUUCAGCCGAAGAUUCUUGAAAUUGAGUCUGAUAAAGAUGGAAUCAUUCCUGGAAGUCUUCUCAGAUAUUUGUCAAAGUGGAAACCUGAGGAUUCCAAGAAACCAAACUGCAGCAUUCCAAGAAUAUUGUACUGUGUACCGAAUGGUGGAAACCCCACAGGAAGUCAGUUGACGUGGGAACGGAAGAAAGAGAUUUACAAACUUUGUCAGGACUAUGAUAUACUCAUUAUGGAGGAUGACCCGUACUUCUAUCUUCAAUUCAGCAAGCCCUAUGUCCCCAGUUUCCUGUCGAUGGAUGAAGAUGGAAGAGUAAUGAGAUUUGAUUCAUUUUCAAAAAUAAUAUCAUCAGGGAUGCGAAUUGGGUGUCUGAGUGGACCGAGGGCUUUGGUGAACAAAAUCAUCCAGCAUCAACAGGUGUCUGCAGUUCACUCCAGUGGGCUUUCUCAGGUGGUGCUGUUUUCCGUUCUCCAGGAAAUGGGUCAUGAUGGAUUUCUACAGCACUGUGACAAAGUGGCAGACUUCUAUAAGAGGCAGCGUGAUGCUUGUCUAGCCAUGGCUAACAAACAUUUGUCAGCAGCUGUGGAAUGAGAGAUAGCCCAAUGGGUAGCAUCCUCAGGAGAAUAAACAAACAAAUUGGUGAGAUGGAGGACAGGUCUGGCCGAGUGGUUUGAACCUUCUGGUGGGAUGUUUUUGUGGUUAAAGUUUCCACAGAUCAAGGACACAUUUAAGCUAAUAUCGGAGAAAGCUAGAGCAAAAGAGGUGCUGUUUGUUCCCGGUAACGCAUU
Molecule: unclassified non-coding RNA, 1529 nt
Filed under: Gigantopelta aegis
Lineage: Eukaryota; Metazoa; Mollusca; Gastropoda; Neomphalida; Peltospiridae
Description: kynurenine/alpha-aminoadipate aminotransferase, mitochondrial-like, transcript variant X2
Source: RNAcentral